GAUGAACGCUGGCGGCGUGCCUAAUACAUGCAAGUCGAGCGAACAGACGAUGAGCUUGCUCCUCUGACGUUAGCCGCAGGCGGGUGAGUAACGCGUGGAUAACCUACCUGUCAGUCGGGGAUAACUUCGGAAAACCGGAUCUAAUCCCAGAGGAUAUACUGAACCGCAGUGGUCAAUGGUGAAUGACGGUGUUUCGGUCACUUAUAGAUGCAUCUGGGCCGCAUUAGCUAGUUGUGAAGGUAACGGCCUACCAAGGCAACGAUGCGUAGACGACCUGAGAGGGUGAUAGCCCACCUGGGAACGGAGACACCGUCAAGACUCCUACGGGAGGCAGCAGUAGGGAACCUUCCGCAAUGGGCGAAAGCAUGACGGAGCGACGGCGCGUGAGUGAUGAAGAUCUUGGGAUCGUAAAACCCUGUUACUAGGGAAGAACCACUGUGUAAGUAACUAUGCACGUCUUGACGGUACCUAAUAAGAAAGCACCGGCUAACUACGUG
Molecule: ribosomal RNA, 497 nt
Filed under: uncultured bacterium
Lineage: Bacteria
Description: partial 16S ribosomal RNA
Rfam family: Bacterial small subunit ribosomal RNA
Source: RNAcentral